Molecule: long non-coding RNA, 1859 nt
Organism: Esox lucius (northern pike)
Lineage: Eukaryota; Metazoa; Chordata; Actinopteri; Esociformes; Esocidae
Source: Ensembl
CGACACUUCUGUAAUAAAUGGAUAUACGAUACGGUAAUUGACCUGACUCCUGGUGUUUUAUUCUCCUUUCCAACAAACCAACUCGGGGAAGUGUUAGACUUCAACAUAUGUAUUACACAACAUCAAGUACAUGUCAAAAUGGUACUUGUCGGUCAUCGGAUUUGUCAUCAAUAUCGACACGUUGAUGCUGAUGAUUCCUGAACUGCUCAAAGUUCAGCGGUAUGUGCUCACCUACAGGUUCAGCCAAGAUCACUUGGAGCUCCUAUUUAAUUCAAUCAGAGCGUCAGGCAGCUGGAAUAACAAUCCAUCGGCAAGCCAGUUCCAAGCCAUCUUCCGCCGCUGAUGGUUCAGUGUGGUGUCUCACCUUGUUAGACAGACAAUGUGGCAGCACAGGAUAACACUGUGUCCCUGUGCGCUGUGGAGAUUUCCUGAAACUGCUGAAGAGCCCCCACUCCAUUCGCCAACAUUUCGCCCCUUGUGUAAUCUCCCCACUCGGUUUGGUGGUCUGGUGGAAAAUGCUCUGGUCUACAUAGCAGGGUUUGUAGAUGUGUGCCAUGCGAUCUUGGUCAGAGAUGCUGUACCAUCUUCAUUUGACAAGAGCUACCACCUUCUAACCCAGAAAAACAACAGUGGCCUAGUGAUUCCAUCACAAGACACAGUGCUGAGAGCUGCAGAGAGGGUGAUCCGCCAAGCUUCACCAAUACAAGCUCCUAAGGUGUUGACAGUCACACACAUCGUCGGGGAGGAGAUUGGAGCGGAGGAUGUUUUUCUGCUUCGGGAACACAUUGAGGAGACACAGUUUGGCAUUGACAACCGUCAUUCUGACUUGUUGUCAUUGGUUGUGUCUGUGUUCCUCAAAAUAAGGCUGCACCACAUUGCCAAACUAACCUCUCUUGAACUGCUGAAAGGGCGCACGAGGAAGAAGCUCUGCAAAACUGUCCUCUUUCAGGGGUUUUAGAGCGUGUGCGUGUGUGUGGUUCCACGACAGUUCAAGACUUUAAUCCUAGAUUCCGGCAUCCCCAAACGAAUUCUAAGCUUCAUAUCUGUACUUUAACCUUACUCAUCACACAUAGUAUCUUUAUGUCAUAUCUGUCAUCAUUCUGACAAGAUUAACACUGACACUGAAUACAAUGGCUUAAAACUGCCUGGAAACAAUGGUCUGUCACAUUAUAUGUGAAUACUGCUUAAGUGUUGGUGGGUCUGAAAAUACCUCUGUUUGUUUGUGUUUCAUGAACUCUACCCUCAUGGUGUGUGUCUCCAGGAAUCCAAAUGUUGGUCUCCUUUGCCUUACACUGGGUUUGUGAGAUUGUGUAUGGUGAAGUUUAUCUUUACAUUAUGUCCUUGUGUUUGUGAUUGUCUUAGCCCUGAUCUCUUUCCCUCUGGGUCCUGUAAAGCACUUUGUAAUUGUGUUUUGGAAAUUGCUAAAUUAAUUAAGUUGGCAGACUUUUCAAGGGAGUUUCAACAAAGUAAAUGUGCAGUUUAAAUAAAAACUGUCACUUUUCAUUUUAGACAGAGUACUGGGACCCGUGUGUGUAUGUUGGGAGGGGGGCUGCGAAAUGAAAGAGAGAGAGAGAGAAAGAUAUAUAUAUAUAUAUAUAUAUAUAUAUAUGACUUUACUGCCACUAUUUACACAUUAGGUGUUUCAAUCAGAAUGAUAGUCAAACUGGAAAUGUCCCUGUUUUUCUCCCUUUUUGGGGAUUAUGUUCCCAGUUUUGAUCUCGGACGUCUGGUCACUACAUAUCUUAUAUCAGACUAUUCUAUUUCUGUUAAGCCCACUAUGAAUAUUAAAAUACGCCAAGCCAUGUGUUCUGUAUCAUAACUACAUGUAUGACCUUUGCAGCAACAAAAACCGCGUGAAA